This 601-nucleotide small RNA is filed under the name Pongo abelii (Sumatran orangutan). RNAcentral describes it as "retained intron". Lineage: Eukaryota; Metazoa; Chordata; Mammalia; Primates; Hominidae. The record is from RNAcentral.
CCGCGACGGACGCAAGAUGGCGACGGCGACCAUAGCUCUCCAGGUCAAUGGCCAGCAAGGAGGGGGGUCCGAGCCGGCGGCGGCGGCAGUGGUGGCAGCGGGAGACAAAUGGAAACCUCCACAGGGCACAGACUCCAUCAAGAUGGAGAACGGGCAGAGCACAGCCGCCAAGCUGGGGCUGCCGCCCCUGACGCCCGAGCAGCAGGAGGCCCUUCAGAAGGCCAAGAAGUACGCCAUGGAGCAGAGCAUCAAGAGCGUGCUGGUGAAGCAGACCAUCGCGCACCAGCAGCAGCAGCUCACCAAUCUGCAGAUGGCAGCAGUGACAAUGGGCUUUGGAGAUCCUCUCUCACCUUUGCAAUCGGUCAAUAGAAAUGCUCACUUCUUCCGGGGCUCAUGUCCUUAGUCAGGGCUAGAGGGGGGCAGUGCAGCCCACGUGCUGGGGACCUUGCUCCCCUGGCCGGCCCUGCCCGCCAGCUCUGGACGAGCGCAGCAGAGCGCCAGGCGUGGUGGGGCCAGUGGUGUGGGCACCCACCCGGGACCGCCCCUGGGGAGGCCUCCAUCUGCUCUGAGGGCCCACCUUAAAACUAAUCGGCCAGGUAAC